AAAUGAAUUGACGGGGACUUGCACAAGCAGUGGAUUAUGUGGUUUAAUUCGAUGGUAAACGAAGAACCUCACCAGGGUUUGAAACCCACGUGAAAGCUCCUAGAAACAGGAGCCCUCGCAAGACUAGUGGACAGGUGCUGCAUGGCCGUCGUCAGUUCGUGGUUUGAAUUGUUCCCUUCAGUGGGGUAACGAACGCAACCCUCGUCGUGUGUUACAAGUGUCACACGAGACUGCCCCCUCUCGGGGGAGGAAGGUGAGGAUGACGCCAGGUCAGCAUGGCCCUUUGAUACCCUGGGCUACACACAUAAUACAAUCGCCGUUACAACACGACGCAAUACCGUAAGGUGGAGCAAAUCGUUAGAAAAACGGCGCCAGUUCGGAUUGAGGUCUGCAACUCGACCUCAUGAAGCCGGAAUUGCUAGUAAUCGCGGGUCAGAUAUACCGCGGUGAAUACGUUCUCAAGUCUUGUACACACCGCCCGU
RNAcentral lists this ribosomal RNA (482 nucleotides) under uncultured bacterium. Its description in RNAcentral is "bacterial SSU rRNA". It matches the Rfam family "Bacterial small subunit ribosomal RNA", at positions 903 to 1397 of the family's 1533-position model. The record is from RNAcentral.